RNAcentral lists this ribosomal RNA (424 nucleotides) under uncultured bacterium. RNAcentral's name for it is "partial 16S ribosomal RNA". It matches the Rfam family "Bacterial small subunit ribosomal RNA", at positions 360 to 776 of the family's 1533-position model. The record is from RNAcentral.
AAUAUUGGACAAUGGGGGGAACCCUGAUCCAGCCAUGCCGCGUGUGUGAAGAAGGUCUUCGGAUUGUAAAGCACUCUAAGUUGGGAGGAAGAGUUGUAGGCUAAUACCUUGCAAUUUUGACGUUACCAACAGAAUAAGCACCGCCUAACUUCGUGCCAGCAGCCGCGGGAAUACGAAGGGUGCAAGCGUUAAUCGGAAUUACUGGGGGUAAAAGGCGCGGAGGUGGGUCGUUUAAUUGGAAGUGGAAGCCCCGGGCUUAAACUGGGGAUUGCUUUCAAAACUGACGAGCUAGAGUACGGUAGAGGGUAGUGGAAUUUCCUGUGUAGCGGUGAAAUGCGUAGAUAUAGGAAGGAACAUCAGUGGCGAAGGCGACUACCUGGACUGAUACUGACACUGAGGUGCGAAAGCGUGGGGAGCAAACGGG